RNAcentral lists this long non-coding RNA (461 nucleotides) under Homo sapiens (human). RNAcentral's name for it is "HSALNT0244408". Lineage: Eukaryota; Metazoa; Chordata; Mammalia; Primates; Hominidae. The record is from RNAcentral.
AAAUGUUCAAUCCCAGUUAUGGAUUUCAGGCCUCUGGCCUUCAGCAUACUGGUGUGGACAGGCUCUGGUGGACAUUCCAUUAUACUUCUUGAUUCUCUUUUCAAUACAUUUAAUUUACUACUUCAUAUUUCUGGGAUUCCAGCUUUCAUGGGAACUCAUGUUUGUUUUGAUCUUAAUAUGUGUAUCCACAAUUAUGGUAUCAACUCAAUAUGAAAAACUCAACUUAAUUUUGUGCAUGAUUUUCAUACCUUCCUUCACUUUGCUGGGGUAUGUCAUGUUAUUGAUCCAGCUCGACUUUAUGAGAAACUUGGACAGUCUGGACAAUAGAAUAAAUGAAGUCAAUAAAACCAUUCUUUUAACAACCUUAAUACCAUACCUUCAGAGUGUUAUUUUCCUUUUUGUCAUAAGGUGUCUGGAAAUGAAGUAUGGAAAUGAAAUAAUGAAUAAAGACCCAGUUUUCA